GCACCUGAUUGAUUUUGGUCGCCAACGAGUGGCGGACGGGUGAGUAACACGUAGGUAACCUGCCCAGAAGCGGGGGACAACAUUUGGAAACAGAUGCUAAUACCGCAUAACAGCGUUGUUCGCAUGAACAACGCUUAAAAGAUGGCUUCUCGCUAUCACUUCUGGAUGGACCUGCGGUGCAUUAGCUUGUUGGUGGGGUAACGGCCUACCAAGGCGAUGAUGCAUAGCCGAGUUGAGAGACUGAUCGGCCACAAUGGGACUGAGACACGGCCCAUACUCCUACGGGAGGCAGCAGUAGGGAAUCUUCCACAAUGGGCGCAAGCCUGAUGGAGCAACACCGCGUGAGUGAAGAAGGGUUUCGGCUCGUAAAGCUCUGUUGUUAAAGAAGAACACGUAUGAGAGUAACUGUUCAUACGUUGACGGUAUUUAACCAGAAAGUCACGGCUAACUACGUGCCAGCAGCCGCGGUAAUACGUAGGUGGCAAGCGUUAUCCGGAUUUAUUGGGCGUAAAGAGAGUGCAGGCGGUUUUCUAAGUCUGAUGUGAAAGCCUUCGGCUUAACCGGAGAAGUGCAUCGGAAACUGGAUAACUUGAGUGCAGAAGAGGGUAGUGGAACUCCAUGUGUAGCGGUGGAAUGCGUAGAUAUAUGGAAGAACACCAGUGGCGAAGGCGGCUACCUGGUCUGCAACUGACGCUGAGACUCGAAAGCAUGGGUAGCGAACAGGAUUAGAUACCCUGGUAGUCCAUGCCGUAAACGAUGAGUGCUAGGUGUUGGAGGGUUUCCGCCCUUCAGUGCCGGAGCUAACGCAUUAAGCACUCCGCCUGGGGAGUACGACCGCAAGGUUGAAACUCAAAGGAAUUGACGGGGGCCCGCACAAGCGGUGGAGCAUGUGGUUUAAUUCGAAGCUACGCGAAGAACCUUACCAGGUCUUGACAUCUUGCGCCAACCCUAGAGAUAGGGCGUUUCCUUCGGGAACGCAAUGACAGGUGGUGCAUGGUCGUCGUCAGCUCGUGUCGUGAGAUGUUGGGUUAAGUCCCGCAACGAGCGCAACCCUUGUUACUAGUUGCCAGCAUUAAGUUGGGCACUCUAGUGAGACUGCCGGUGACAAACCGGAGGAAGGUGGGGACGACGUCAGAUCAUCAUGCCCCUUAUGACCUGGGCUACACACGUGCUACAAUGGACGGUACAACGAGUCGCGAACUCGCGAGGGCAAGCAAAUCUCUUAAAACCGUUCUCAGUUCGGACUGCAGGCUGCAACUCGCCUGCACGAAGUCGGAAUCGCUAGUAAUCGCGGAUCAGCAUGCCGCGGUGAAUACGUUCCCGGGCCUUGUACACACCGCCCGUCACACCAUGAGAGUUUGUAA
Molecule: ribosomal RNA, 1364 nt
Filed under: Limosilactobacillus fermentum
Lineage: Bacteria; Bacillati; Bacillota; Bacilli; Lactobacillales; Lactobacillaceae
Description: bacterial SSU rRNA
Rfam family: Bacterial small subunit ribosomal RNA
Source: RNAcentral